UGGGGAAUAUUGCACAAUGGGCGCAAGCCUGAUGCAGCCAUGCCGCGUGUGUGAAGAAGGCUUUCGGGUUGUAAAGCACUUUCAGUGGGGAGGAAAGGGUGUACGUUAAUAGCGUGCAUCUGUGACGUUACCCACAGAAGAAGCACCGGCUAACUCCGUGC
This 161-nucleotide ribosomal RNA is filed under the name uncultured Pseudoalteromonas sp. RNAcentral describes it as "partial 16S ribosomal RNA". It matches the Rfam family "Bacterial small subunit ribosomal RNA", at positions 355 to 508 of the family's 1533-position model. The record is from RNAcentral. Lineage: Bacteria; Pseudomonadati; Pseudomonadota; Gammaproteobacteria; Alteromonadales; Pseudoalteromonadaceae.